Molecule: ribosomal RNA, 423 nt
Filed under: uncultured bacterium
Lineage: Bacteria
Description: partial 16S ribosomal RNA
Rfam family: Bacterial small subunit ribosomal RNA
Source: RNAcentral
AUCUUCGACAAUGGGCGAAAGCCUGAUGGAGCAACGCCGCGUGAGUGAAGAAGGAUUNNNGUUCGNACAACUCUGUCGUAAGGNAAGNACAAGUACAGUAGUAACUGGCUGUACCUUGACGGUACCUUAUUAGAAAGCCACGGCUAACUACGUUCCAGCAGCCGCGGUAAUACGUAGGUGGCAAGCGUUGUCCGGAAUUAUUGGGCGUAAAGCGCGCGCAGGUGGUUUCUUAAGUCUGAUGUGAAAGCCCACGGCUCAACCGUGGAGGGUCAUUGGAAACUGGGAGACUUGAGUGCAGAAGAGGAUAGUGGAAUUCCAAGUGUAGCGGUGAAAUGCGUAGAGAUUUGGAGGAACACCAGUGGCGAAGGCGACUAUCUGGUCUGUAACUGACACUGAGGCGCGAAAGCGUGGGUAGCAAACAGG